Molecule: long non-coding RNA, 426 nt
Organism: Pleuronectes platessa (European plaice)
Lineage: Eukaryota; Metazoa; Chordata; Actinopteri; Pleuronectiformes; Pleuronectidae
Exons: 3
Source: RefSeq, a predicted model, not a curated record
GUUGUCCGCCUGAUGAGGGAUCGGACUGAGGGCAACACCAUGGUUAAGGUGUGGAGGCAGGUCCAGGAGGGUCACUGUGAGGAGUACCUGCAGAGAAAGGACCUCUACACCACCCUUCUCUGUCAGCUCAGCAGACCUGGAAGCAUCAUGAGUGCUCUGGGCCAUCAAUACCAGAAGCCGCCGACGCGCAUGUAGCUGCCGUCGCCGAGGCUUCUGAGAAAAGCCUACCUGAUCUAUGAGGCAGAGCACAUUGAGGACUACCGGACACAAAUCAUGUCCACGUUCGGGAAAGUCCUCAAGUAUGUCUCCACCAGGAAGAUCUGCAAGAAGCUUUCAGGUCACGGAAGAGGCACUGCAGAGUGGUGCACCAACGUGGCCAACGAGCUGGGGCAGGUCCUCAUGUCGGUGUUCACCUGCAAGGAGUCU